ACCAGGCUGGUCUCGAACUCGUAGA
This 25-nucleotide non-coding RNA is filed under the name Cricetulus griseus (Chinese hamster). Lineage: Eukaryota; Metazoa; Chordata; Mammalia; Rodentia; Cricetidae. The record is from RNAcentral.